Molecule: ribosomal RNA, 562 nt
Filed under: uncultured bacterium
Lineage: Bacteria
Description: bacterial SSU rRNA
Rfam family: Bacterial small subunit ribosomal RNA
Source: RNAcentral
CCUACGGGAGGCAGCAGUGGGGAAUCUUGCGCAAUGGGCGAAAGCCUGACGCAGCCACGCCGCGUGCGGGAUGAAGGCCCUAGGGUUGUAAACCGCUUUUAACAGGAACGAAAAUGACGGUACCUGUAGAAUAAGGUGCGGCCAACUACGUGCCAGCAGCCGCGGUGACACGUAGGCACCAAGCGUUGUCCGGAUUUAUUGGGCGUAAAGAGCUCGUAGGCGGUUCAGUAAGUCGGGUGUGAAAACUCUGGGCUUAACCCAGAGACGCCACUCGAUACUAUUGUGACUAGAGUUCGGUAGGGGAGCGGGGAAUUCCUAGUGUAGCGGUGAAAUGCGCAGAUAUUAGGAGGAACACCGGUGGCGAAGGCGCCGCUCUGGGCCGAUACUGACGCUGAGGAGCGAAAGCGUGGGUAGCAAACAGGAUUAGAUACCCUGGUAGUCCACGCCGUAAACGGUGGGCACUAGGUGUGGGUUCCAACCAACGGAAUCCGCGCCGUCGCUAACGCAUUAAGUGCCCGCCUGGGGAGUACGGCCGCAGGUUAAAACUCAAAGGAAUUGACGG